This 516-nucleotide ribosomal RNA is filed under the name Triticum aestivum (bread wheat). Its description in RNAcentral is "partial small subunit ribosomal RNA". The record is from RNAcentral. Lineage: Eukaryota; Viridiplantae; Streptophyta; Magnoliopsida; Poales; Poaceae.
AUGGUUGUCCCCGACCGCCUCGCCGGCGACGCCAGAGAGUAUAAGGACCCUCCCCGACGCCUCGAGCCCUUCCCUAUCUCGCCCAAAAUAUCUCCACCCACUCCCCUCUCUCCUCCUCCGCUUAUCCCCUCACCCAGAUCCCUUUCCCCUCCUUCCGAGCUCUGCCAUGGACGCGACGCCGAGACCGACGUAGCCGCAGCCACCACCGUCCCUGAACCCCUCCGAUGCGUCCAUGUCCCCUACGACAUCUACAUGGGCGGGCUCGAGCUGGGCGUCCCUGCAUCGAGCGGAUCGACGCCAUCCUCCUCCUCGAGCACCACCGCCUUCUUCUUCAACUUCGUCGUCGUCCUAUGCUUUGACCCCUCCCCGAGCAUGCUCUUGCACAACUACAGGUCCGAACCCGAGACCGAUGUCGCCCCUGUGAUUGACUACGUCGACGACGACACUUCUUCCUUCUCAACAGAGCUUCCAGAUGACGGAUCCCAGGAGCCAGAAGACGCCACUGAUGACUACUAG